Molecule: ribosomal RNA, 497 nt
Filed under: uncultured bacterium
Lineage: Bacteria
Description: partial 16S ribosomal RNA
Rfam family: Bacterial small subunit ribosomal RNA
Source: RNAcentral
GAUGAACGCUGGCGGCGUGCCUAAUACAUGCAAGUCGAGCGAACGGACGAGAAGCUUGCUUUUCUGAUGUUAGCGGCGGACGGGUGAGUAACACGUGGAUAACCUACCUAUAAGACUGGGAUAACUUCGGGAAACCGGAGCUAAUACCGGAUAAUAUUUUGAACCGCAUUGUUCAAAAGUGAAAGACGGUCUUGCUGUCACUUAUAGAUGGAUCCGCUCUGCAUUAGCUAGUUGGUAAGGUAACGGCUUACCAAGGCAACGAUGCAUAGCCGACCUGAGAGGGUGAUCGGCCAAACGGGAACUGAGAAAGGGUCAAGACUCCUAGGGGAGGAAGAAGAAGGGAAUCUUCCGCAAUGGGGGAAAGCCUGACGGAGAAACGCGGCGUGAGUGAUGAAGGUCUUCGGAUCGUAAAACUCUGUUAUUAGGGAAGAAAAUAUGUGUAAGUAAAUGUGCACAUCUUGACGGUACCUAAUCAGAAAGCCACGGCUAACUACGUG